GGUUGUGAACUGUGGGGACUAAUCUCCCCCUGCAGAUCCGACCACGGCGCAAGCCGAAACCUACUUAAAGAAGAAGGAG
Molecule: regulatory RNA element, 79 nt
Organism: Malonomonas rubra DSM 5091
Lineage: Bacteria; Pseudomonadati; Thermodesulfobacteriota; Desulfuromonadia; Desulfuromonadales; Geopsychrobacteraceae
Rfam family: L20-Deltaproteobacteria ribosomal protein leader
Source: Rfam